UACAGAGGUCUCGAGCGUUAGGCGGAAUCACUGGGCUUAAAGCGUGUGUAGGUGGAUGCCUAAGUACCUUGUGAAAUCCCACGGCUUAACCGGGGAACGGGCGCGGAUACGGCUCGUCUCGAGGGGCGUAGGGGGACCUGGAACUUCCGGUGGAGCGGUGAAAUGCGUUGAGAUCGGAAGGAACGCCCGUGGCGAAAGCGAGGUCCUGGACGCCUACUGACGCUGAGACGCGAAAGCCAGGGGAGCGAACGGG
This 253-nucleotide ribosomal RNA is filed under the name uncultured bacterium. Its description in RNAcentral is "partial 16S ribosomal RNA". It matches the Rfam family "Bacterial small subunit ribosomal RNA", at positions 524 to 776 of the family's 1533-position model. The record is from RNAcentral.